Molecule: ribosomal RNA, 541 nt
Filed under: uncultured Ascomycota
Lineage: Eukaryota; Fungi; Ascomycota
Description: SSU rRNA
Rfam family: Eukaryotic small subunit ribosomal RNA
Source: RNAcentral
GAGGGCAAGUCUGGUGCCAGCAGCCGCGGUAAUUCCAGCUCCAAUAGCGUAUAUUAAAGUUGUUGUGGUUAAAAAGCUCGUAGUUGAACCUUGGGCCUGGCUGGCCGGUCCGCCUCACCGCGUGUACUGGUCCGGCCGGGCCUUUCCCUCUGUGGAACCCCAUGCCCUUCACUGGGUGUGGCGGGGAAACAGGACUUUUACUUUGAAAAAAUUAGAGUGCUCCAGGCAGGCCUAUGCUCGAAUACAUUAGCAUGGAAUAAUAGAAUAGGACGUGUGGUUCUAUUUUGUUGGUUUCUAGGACCGCCGUAAUGAUUAAUAGGGACAGUCGGGGGCAUCAGUAUUCAAUUGUCAGAGGUGAAAUUCUUGGAUUUAUUGAAGACUAACUACUGCGAAAGCAUUUGCCAAGGAUGUUUUCAUUAAUCAGGAACGAAAGUUAGGGGAUCGAAGACGAUCAGAUACCGUCGUAGUCUUAACCAUAAACUAUGCCGACUAGGGAUCGGACGAUGUUAUUUUUUGACUCGUUCGGCACCUUACGGGAAAC